RNAcentral lists this unclassified non-coding RNA (820 nucleotides) under Hevea brasiliensis (rubber tree). The record is from RNAcentral. Lineage: Eukaryota; Viridiplantae; Streptophyta; Magnoliopsida; Malpighiales; Euphorbiaceae.
GCUUACAAGUUACAAAUGAUUGCAUUUCCAAAAAAAAACUCUCAUGGUACAAUUGCGACAUUUACUUAAAUAGAAAGAAAAAGGAAAUAGUCUCAAUGAAUACCUAAUCUAAUUAUACGUAUUCCAGGUCAUAUGUACAUCUUAAAAUAUAAAUGAAGUGAAAAAGCUCCUAAUUCCACACGCUAUGGAGCAAAAUCCUACAAAGAAAUAAAUUCAACAGAUAUAAGGAAGAUAGUCGAGGAAAUUUGAUUUACCAUGAUGUGUUUGACUCAGCUUUUACGAUCAUCUAUUGUAGUAAAAGUCAUUGUUCCAUGUGUCGCUGUUGUGUUCGCAGAUGAAGAAGAAUCAACUUGUUUACCCGAGCCAGCAGAUAGCGUGUCUGAUGAUGUAUUUUUCUGAUUCCUGAGACUUACUAGAUCGGAUAACAUGCCUGGCUCAGAUAUCUCUUCAUCAUUCACUUGCAUCUCACCAGUCAGCAAUUUCACCACAGUGGACAUCGAUGGUCGGCUUUUGGGCAUGACUUGGGUGCAUAAGAGAGACACCUUCAAGAAUUUGCAAGCAUCAACAACAUCGAAGUCAUCUCCCAAUAAUGCAUCUACCAAUUGAAUGAGCUCCCCCUUCUUGAACAGUCUCCAUGCCCGUUCAAGAAGAUAUUGUUCCUCAAUAGGUAACCGCUUGUUUGUGUUGCAUCUUCCACUAACGAUUUCCAAAAGGAGAAUCCCAAAACUGUAUACAUCUGCUUUCCGUGUCAACUGCCCUCUCAUUGCAUAUUCAGGGGCCAAAUAACCUAGUGUUCCUGCCACACGGGUGCUAACAUGGG